Molecule: unclassified non-coding RNA, 352 nt
Filed under: soil metagenome
Description: partial contains 5.8S ribosomal RNA, internal transcribed spacer 2, and large subunit ribosomal RNA
Rfam family: 5.8S ribosomal RNA (bases 1-120)
Source: RNAcentral
GAUGAAGAACGUAGCGAAAUGCGAUAAGUAAUGUGAAUUGCAGAAUUCAGUGAAUCAUCGAAUCUUUGAACGCACAUUGCGCCCGCCAGUAUUCUGGCGGGCAUGCCUGUUCGAGCGUCAUUACAACCCUCAGGCCCCCGGGCCUGGCGUUGGGGAUCGGCAGAAGCCCCCUGUGGGCACACGCCGUCCCUCAAAUACAGUGGCGGUCCCGCCGCAGCUUCCAUUGCGUAGUAGCUAACACCUCGCAACUGGAGAGCGGCGCGGCCAUGCCGUAAAACACCCAACUUCUGAAUGUUGACCUCGUAUCAGGUAGGAAUACCCGCUGAACUUAAGCAUAUCAAUAAGCGGAGGA